Long non-coding RNA from Gossypium arboreum, 833 nucleotides. RefSeq lists it as uncharacterized. The transcript has 3 exons. Lineage: Eukaryota; Viridiplantae; Streptophyta; Magnoliopsida; Malvales; Malvaceae. The record is from RefSeq and is a predicted model, not a curated record.
CUCAUUUUGGAAAAUUUUAUUAUUUUUGUUCCUAUCCCUAUCUCUAUCUUUGUUCGUUAGACUUAAAAGACUAUUUUUUGCUUCACUUGAGUUAGAAUGAGACUGUUGCGAGAAAUUAGAAUUAUUGUUGCUAAUGUUCUUGUGUGUCUCACAGUUAGAGGAAUUUGGAUUCAAAUUGAAGUCUAGGAAAUCUGUUAGAUAUGAAUGGCGUUAGUUGGGAUAACGAGCAUAUCUUCUUUAUUUUAUUUUAUUUUUAUCCUAUUUCUUUUUGUUUUGAAAAUUAGAACAAUUGAAUAAUAUUCCUAAAAAUCUGCUUCACUAGUCACAUUUCCCAUUGUUUCUCCCCAAUUUCCCCAUCCGUGUGUUUCAGUUUGUUCUCCAGUAAAGAAAUUCUAAAUUUUCUUCUUUCUUUCUUCCUCCUUUCAUACUUUAUUGUUUUCUUUGGCUAUCUCUCUUGCUUUUCCCCAAGCAAAGGUUGUUUUCAAUUUUGUUCUUAUUUAUCCUACUUACUGAAAUGAUGUUGCUCGUAACUUCUGUUAUUUGCAAUUUCUUUCUUGUUGUUUCGACCCUAUGCGUAUUCACGUUUGGGCAAGGAGAAGAUCGUGUGGCGAUUGGUUCUCCGACAAACUGGGUUCAUUUUAAGCUACGGAUUUGUUAAGAGGUAACCUACAGGCAUAAGACGAAUCGGUGCGACGUCGCUCGGUUAAAAACAUUUAAGUUGUGUUACUUUAAACUUUGUUUACUCUGUUUUGGUAUUGUUGGAUUGUUUUUGUUUUGAACUUUUAUUUUUUGUUUUGAACCGUUUUAAAAUUAAAAUUACUCUAUCAGCAAAA